Molecule: non-coding RNA, 545 nt
Organism: Salmo salar (Atlantic salmon)
Lineage: Eukaryota; Metazoa; Chordata; Actinopteri; Salmoniformes; Salmonidae
Source: RefSeq, a predicted model, not a curated record
GGAUCAGCAGAGGGCUGUUGCUGCUGCUGUUGCUGCUGCAUCACAGCUGGAGUCUUCCCAAGCCUAUCACCAUUGCAGGACUGGCCUGGGCAUCCAUCUGAGAUAAUUCCAAAGGUCUGAGUCACUGUCAGCUUGGGUCUCUCUCGUCUCUACAUCAUACUGCCAUCUCAAGGCUGUGUUUACACAGCAGGCUUAAAUAAGUACAUCGAGACUGCAAGGCUGUAACCCAUUGCCAUCACCAAACUUGAUAUCUUCAUUUUUAGAUCUCUCUGAAGUAUGAGAGGAAUGUCUGAACCUGAAUGAUCAUGUGCUUGUGGGCAAGCACAACCCGGCAGAGGCUGAGCACAGAUCAAAGGCCUACCUCCAGUCAGGAAAGGAAUCCUCGUGCACAGACACCAUAACCCCGUCCUGCUGUCAGUGGGCCAGAGGCCCCACCCCCGACACCCUGCAGCAGGCCCUGAUGCCCAUGGUAACCUAACGUAGCAGGCCCUGAUGCCCGUGGUAACCUAACGUAGCAGGCCCUGAUGCCCAUGGUAACCUAACGU